This 72-nucleotide transfer RNA is filed under the name Vitis vinifera (wine grape). Its description in RNAcentral is "transfer RNA-Cys". The stretch from base 5 to 65 matches the Rfam family "tRNA", at positions 6 to 65 of the family's 71-position model. From Rfam's summary of the family: Transfer RNA (tRNA) molecules are approximately 80 nucleotides in length. Their secondary structure includes four short double-helical elements and three loops (D, anti-codon, and T loops). The record is from RNAcentral. Lineage: Eukaryota; Viridiplantae; Streptophyta; Magnoliopsida; Vitales; Vitaceae.
AUGGCAUAGCUCAGUGGUAGAGCAUUUGACUGCAGAUUAAGAGGUCACCGGUUCGAUCCUGGUUGUGCCCUA